Molecule: ribosomal RNA, 235 nt
Filed under: uncultured bacterium
Lineage: Bacteria
Description: partial 16S ribosomal RNA
Rfam family: Bacterial small subunit ribosomal RNA
Source: RNAcentral
CGGACGGGUGAGUAACGCGUGGGUAACCGACCCUGUACACACAGAUAACAUACCGAAAGGUAUGCUAAUACGGGAUAAUAUAUUUGAGAGGCAUCUCUUGAAUAUCAAAGGUGAGCCAGUACAGGAUGGACCCGCGUCUGAUUAGCUAGUUGGUAAGGUAACGGCUUACCAAGGCGACGAUCAGUAGCCGACCUGAGAGGGUGAUCGGCCACAUUGGAACUGAGACACGGUCCAA